GCGGGAAUUCGAUUAGUUUGAUCCUGGCUCAGGACGAACGCUGGCGGCGUGCUUAACACAUGCAAGUCGAACGAGGUCUUCGGACCUAGUGGCGAACGGGUGAGUAACACGUGAGGAACGUGCCCCAGAGACCGGGAUAAGCCGAGGAAACUUGGUCUAAUACCGGAUGUCCCCACCGGAUCGCAUGGUCUGGUGAGGAAAUGGAUUCCGCUCUGGGAGCGCCUCGCGGCCUAUCAGCUUGUUGGUGGGGUAACGGCCCACCAAGGCGUCGACGGGUAGCUGGUCUGAGAGGAUGAUCAGCCACACUGGGACUGAGACACGGCCCAGACUCCUACGGGAGGCAGCAGUGGGGAAUCUUGCGCAAUGGGCGAAAGCCUGACGCAGCAACGCCGCGUGCGGGACGACGGCCCUCGGGUUGUAAACCGCUUUCAGCAGGAACGAUGAUGACGGUACCUGCAGAAGAAGCUCCGGCCAACUACGUGCCAGCAGCCGCGGUAAUACGUAGGGAGCAAGCGUUGUCCGGAUUUAUUGGGCGUAAAGAGCUCGUAGGCGGUUCGGUAAGUCGGGUGUGAAAACUCUGGGCUCAACCCGGAGAGGCCACUCGAUACUGCUGUGACUUGAGUCUGGUAGGGGAGCACGGAAUUCCUGGUGUAGCGGUGAAAUGCACAGAUAUCAGGAGGAACACCGGUGGCGAAGGCGGUGCUCUGGGCCAGUACUGACGCUGAGGAGCGAAAGCGUGGGGAGCGAACAGGAUUAGAUACCCU
RNAcentral lists this ribosomal RNA (764 nucleotides) under uncultured bacterium. RNAcentral's name for it is "bacterial SSU rRNA". It matches the Rfam family "Bacterial small subunit ribosomal RNA", at positions 1 to 788 of the family's 1533-position model. The record is from RNAcentral.